RNAcentral lists this ribosomal RNA (428 nucleotides) under uncultured bacterium. RNAcentral's name for it is "bacterial SSU rRNA". It matches the Rfam family "Bacterial small subunit ribosomal RNA", at positions 354 to 796 of the family's 1533-position model. The record is from RNAcentral.
AUUAGGAAUCUUGCACAAUGGGCGAAAGCCUGAUGCAGCGACGCCGCGUGGAGGACGAAGUCUUUCGGGAUGUAAACUCCUUUUGUCAGGGAAGAAACACAUGACGGUACCUGACGAAUAAGCUCCGGCUAACUACGUGCCAGCAGCCGCGGUAAUACGUAGGGAGCGAGCGUUGUCCGAAGUUACUGGGCGUAAAGCGCGCGUAGGCGGGCUGUUUAGUCGGAAGUGAAAGGCUGGGGCUCAACCCCAGCAGUGCUUCCGAUACUGGCAGUCUUGAGGGCGGUAGGGAGAAGUGGAAUGACUGGUGUAGCGGUGAAAUGCGUAGAUAUCAGUCAGAACACCGGUGGCGAAGGCGGCUUCUUGGGCCGUUCCUGACGCUGAGGCGCGAAAGCCAGGGGAGCGAACGGGAUUAGAUACCCUAGUAGUCC